Acinonyx jubatus (cheetah) is the source of this 9803-nucleotide long non-coding RNA. RefSeq lists it as uncharacterized. The record is from RefSeq and is a predicted model, not a curated record. The transcript has 3 exons. NCBI's taxonomy places the organism in Eukaryota, Metazoa, Chordata, Mammalia, Carnivora, Felidae.
CCAGUCAUGGCUGAUAUGAAGGUGCUAGUUUGCUAAUGGCUCCACUAGCAAGAAAUAUCUUCGGGGAUUUUUUUUUUUUUUUGUAAAUAGAGAAUGUGGUUGAAACUACGAUUUUGGCAUUUUGCUUCUGAAACUCAAAGUACAGAAAGUUGUCUACAAAUAGUACAUACCUUAAUUUUUCAUUUUUAAAAUUUUGUUGAUAUUAGCUUUUAUUUUAUUUUAUUUUUUUAAGUUUAUUUAUUUUUUUUGAGAGAGACAGAGACAACAUGAGCAGGGGAGGGUAGAGAGAGAAUGAACCCCAGGCAGGUCUGCACUGUCAGCACAGAGCCUAAUGUGGGGCUCAAACUCUCAAAACUGUGAGAUCAUGACCUGUACCGAAACCAAGAGUUGGAUGCUUAACCAACUGAGCCACUAGGCAGCCCUGUACUAACUUUUAAUAUAAUUCUUUUUUUUUUUUUACUUUAUAAUGUACACAAAUUUCCCAUGCUAAUAAAUUACAUUCCAGCAACAGAACUGCAAAUAAUUGCAUGACCUUAGGGCAAAUUACUUUACUUUGAAAUUUUUAGUUUCAUCUGUAAAAUGAGGAUAUGGGGACUGAGCAGAACACAAUGAAAAUUUCUCUUAUGCUUAUCAUAUAUUGCCAAUUAUUUGUCUAGUGAUAGUUUUCCUCACUAAAUUUGAAGCUUCCUGGAGGCAAUAGUCUACCUGAUAACAUUUUUGGCAUUGACUGGUCAAGCUUCAGUUGCUACCCAGGCUCUUAGGUAAAUAUGGGAGUAAAUCAGUACCUUAAGGAGGCUGGGCUGGGCUUCCUUGGUGGACUCUUCAGCUCAUUACUGGAAGACAACCGGCAUGAUUUUGUUGUUUGGGAAACAUGGCUGUUUCAGUGUUUUUAGUUUGGAUGCUUCUUUAUUUAUAUCCCAGCUCACUCUGUAAAGUAUUUGAGAUGUGACAGAUGUCAAUUGUUUCUGCUAAGCUUUUGCUCAUAGGGACAGCAUGUGCAAAUUUGGAUGGGGGUGAAAAGGGGUGCAUGUAGGGGCUUCCUGGUUCUCAGUUAUGCCGUCCUAAGCACUUGGAGCCAAGCUGAUGCUAUCUGUGCAUUAGAUGGAUCACAGUGACAAGCAGAUGUGUCUCUGUGACCUCAGUUGCACGUAGGCACAAAGAAUCCAAAUAGCAAAGCCAAAUUUACCUUAAUCAUCAGUGGGAGAUUCUGUCACCCAGGCAGAGUGGGCUCUUUUAGUUGGAAUGGUAUAGGACAGAGGACUGAGCAAGGCCAAAAUAUUCAGUCCUGCUGUUCCCUGUCCCAUCUACUUAUAUUUCAUUCAUUCAUUCAAAACACAUUCAUUGAAUACUCCUGUGUGUCAAUCCAGUUCUUUGGCUAGUGCUCUGGGCAAGAUAGGAAUCAGGAGCCAUAGGAGAAGUUGGAAGAAUCUAAUCCCACCUGGGUGGGAUGGGGCCAGGGACAACUUCCCAGAGGAGACUGACUUAUGCCAACUGGAUGGAUGUGUCAUUGUUUAUUAGGUAAGGAUGGCUGUGCAUUGGGAAAGAUGGGAGAUUGUUCCAGGCUGAGAAAGUUUUGGUCAAAGGCAACACUGAACGAAAGGGGGUGUGUUGGGUUGUGACCUGGGCUCAAGAGCUUGAAAUUUAUCCCAUGUCCAGUGGGGAGUCUUUGAGGGAGCUUAAGCAGGGAAUAACCUUGUGAGAUUUGUAUUCUAGAAAGCUCUCUUUGGUAGCUGUGUGAACAGGUGGAGAGAGAGCGAGGGUGGUAAGAAUAGAUGGAAAAUGAGGUGAGGACAUAUAAAUGGGACAUGUAACAAUCUUCUUCAACUGUUCUGCAACAGGCUACUCAAGUUUAGAAGCGAACAGUAUGCAGGAAGUUUCCAGAAGUAAAGUGGGAUCUUAUUUUAAAAGUUCUCAUCUUGGGGUGCCUGGGUAGCUCAGUUGGUUGAGCAUCCAACUCUUGAUUUGGGCUCAGGUCAUGAUCUGGUUUGUGAGUUCGAGCUUUGCGUCAGGCUCUGCGUGAGCAUGGAGCCUGCUUAGAAUUCUCUUUCCCUACCCCACUUGUGCUCUCUCUUCCUCUCUCAAAAUAAAUAAACUUAAAAACGAAAAACAGAAGUUCUCAUCUUUUAGAUUGUCUCAUAGCCCAGACUUGCAGUGGCCCUAGAAUGGGGCCCCUGUGUACACCCACCUUCCAUUACCUGCAGAGGUGCCAUGGAGUCUGGUGUGGCUCGGUGUCCAGAAUGGUUUCCUUUUAUAUUUCUAUUCCAGUUUUUUUUUUUUCUACGGGAGUUGGCCAUGUGACAGGGCCCCUCUUGGGUCACAUGCCUGGCUAGAUCUCGACCCCAGUGAUGCCAGGAGAAUGAAGUGUGGCAGCACUGGGGCUCCUGUCUGAGUGGCUGAGGGACUGGAGAGUCUUGAGGCCUGUGUUACAGGCAUGUGUCACAGUCCUCUUUCGGCAGGACUGCGCUGCACAGGAGUGGAACCGCUUUCCCUGUGUGGCCCGAGAAGCUCCCGGACCCCCCUCUGUUCCUGAGGAUUCACCCUUCCCACCAGAGCACCGCCAGGUAUCGAGCUGUGGAGUUGCAGACUUUGCGCUCCCCUUGUUUACAGUCUUCAUGGAAUUUAAACCCUCUCCUUUCUCCUUUCUCCUUUCUCUCUUUUUAGUUUAGUCCCUGCCGCUGUUUCCAAUUUUCCACUUUCUCUCCAGCUGCUUUUGGGGAGGGGUGCUUUUCCCAUAUUCUCCCUCCCCCCACCCCCAGUCUCCAUCCUCUCUCUGCUCGCAAAAGCACCUCUCUUCCUGCGCCUUCUCGCUCCCCAAGUUCACCUCUCUGUGCCGUAUACCUGCUGAAUUCUGUGAUUCAGGUUGUGCAGAUCGUUGUGUUAAUCCUUCAACUGGUUUUCUAGGUGUGUAGGAUGGUUUAGUGUUGGUCUCUCAUGCCGCCUUUUAAACAACAACAUUCUUCUUUAAUGCUGCUAAGGUCUGAUUUAUGUUUCCUUUCAAUGUGAUUCAUGUAGAGGCUGGGCUCCGUGUGGCUCCCCAGGAUUUAUUGAAGAUAAAAUGUUGAUUCUAGAAUGAUUUGUUGUUGGUUUCUGGUCCACAUGUCCUUAGUUUGAUUUUUUGGGGGGUUUUCCCUGUUUUUACUCUUCUAAUUUAAUUUAAGUUUUUAUUUAUUUUGGUGGGAGGAAGAGAGAGAGGGAGAGAGAGAAUCUCAAACAGGCUCCACAUUCAGUGUGGAGCCCAACAUGGGGCUCGAUAUCACAAACGUGAGGUCAUGACCUAAGCCAAAAUCAAGAGUUGGAUGCCUAAACCCAUGAGACACCCAGCUACCCCACUUUUUACUCUUAAAUUUAGAGUGAAGGUAGUUUCCCUAGGACCCGGGAAAAGUGAAAUGGGAUCUUUAGGAAAACACAAAUCAGAGAGAGGCAAUUUUAUUCUUUUUUACAGGAAUUCAAGUUUUAAAAGGGAUAAAAGUUUCCUUGAAUAAUGCUGUCCUGAAUAACUUGAAACAUGAUUUCAUGUUUUCGUCUAUUCCAAGUUUCCUCUAUUUCAAGUUUUCCUCUAUUACAUUUCAUAAGCACACUAAUAAUUCUUCUGAUUAUAAAAUAUAUUUCCCAUGUUAUGUUUUCAUACAUUUACUUACUCUUAACCUGGCAUUUGAGAUUACAUGCACAAAAUGUCAUAAGAGACAAACUCUUCUCAUUGUCGGGGACACUAUAGAAGACUUGGAAGGACCCAGGGUGCAGACCAGGGGUAGACCUUACAUAAGUGCCCACAUUUUGCUGAGCACUGUCCUGGGGCUUCUGCACCGCACUUUCUCUCUUUGUGCAAUACACCCAUUGAAAAAGCCACAGGCAUCUUUCCUGCUCUCUUGAAAGGGGUUAUCUGUGGAUCAGACUUCAGAGCCGCUUCUCUGGAUUCUACCACGAAUUCCAUUUUCUAUUUCCUUCAAGAUGGAAGGCAUUCCUUUCACUGCUUCCUGGCCCCCAUCUCUAGCCAUCAUUCUAAGCUAUUUGUUUAAUUUCAGGGAUGACUGGUCGCUGGAAAUGUUUUUUCCACUAAGCAAAUAGUUGCAAGCUUGCAACACUUGAUAAUUAUCAAAUUCUUCUAUUCAGAAAAAUCUCCCUCAGACAUGACUGCCCGAUGAGGAGAAGGUAGCUUUUCUGAAGCUAUGUGUUCUUGGGAGUGAGGGCAUCUUAUGGAGGAGCAUGGACAGGACUGUGAUGAUUUCUCACUUGAUGUUUUAAAUCUGACUUCAGUCCCCUCUUCUGUAUGACAGUAAUAGGUUUCCAGUUCCAGUUAGUGUCCUUGGUGGCCCCUGAGACCACUUUGUUUUCUGUUAUGCCUAAUUUUUUUAUGCUUAUUUAUUUUUGAGAGAGAAGGAGAGAGACACAGAGCAUGAGUGGGGGAGGGGCAGAGAGAGGGAGACACAAAAUCCAAACAGGCUCCAGGCUGUCAACACAGAGCCUGACGCAGGGCUCGAACCCAUGAACUGUGAGAUCAUGACCUGAGUCGAAGUCGGUGGCUUAACCGACUGAGCCACCCAGGCACCCCUGUUAUACCUAAUCAUUUAUGGAGGUUUUCCCCACAUGGGUUUCCCCCUUAUAUCAGGUAGACAGAUAAAGGAUGUAAACAUUACUUUCAUCAUUUCUUUAUUCUCCCUAACCUAUAAUUCCUAGCUGCUUCAGACAAUCACUUUUCAGUCACCCAUCAUAUCCCUGCUUCCAGGCCUUCCUCCUGCUAUUCUUGCAUUAAGAACAGCAAGAAUUCCUCUUUCUCUCUUGUUUCAGCAUUGGAGGUUUGACUGAUUAACAAACUUCUGUGAGCGAUGGAGUCAUUGCAGCUUUCGUUAUAUUCUGUGCACAUUGUCCUUUCCCGACUCCUUUGGUGGCAAAGAACAUCUCUCCUCUGGGAAACCCUUCAUGUGUUCCCCGAUGGAGCUGAUGCUUCCGCGUGGCAGUGUCAGGAGUGGGCAACACCCGAGACCUUCAGCAGUCCUCCGUGAGCCUCUUCUGGAAGCAACUGGGAAAGAGGCAGAGCUCCUUCCCUUCAUACAACGAUUCGUCGUGAGGAUGAUACAAGCUGGAACUGCCGGUUGCCAUCUUUGCCACCACGUGGGCAUAAAGGGCUUGCCUGAGAAUAAAGCCCAAAUACAGACAGGCAAAGCUGAGAGAUGGAGAAAAUAAGAUGUUCUUAAUGACACCAUCAGACCCCUUCAUGCUGACAUAUUGAAGUCAACUGUGUCCCUUAUGUUUUCAGCUACAUGGGACAAUACCUUCCACCUUUUGCGCAUGCCAGCUUGAGUUGGGUUUCUGUCAUUUGCAACUAACGGACUGCGAGUGAUACAACUGCCAGGCAUUUUAUCCAUGGACGUUUCUAAUUGGUUUCAACACCUACUUCAUUUACUUCUCUGGCAUCCUAGGGCAUCAGCCAGUCCAGUGAUGUGCACAGACAAUGGAGGGACACCCAGCUUUCAUGCAGGGCAGUAGGCAGGUGAUUUUCAGCGACUGAAAGGUUUCUUACUAGGGUGGCCAGAUAACAUACAAGAUUGCCAGUUAAAUUUGAGUUUUGGAUAACUAAUAAUUUUUUAAGUUAUAUUGCCCCAUGCAAUAUUGAAAUUUCAGAUCAACAACAAAUAAUUUCUAGUGUAAAUAUGUCCCACUCAAUAUGUGGGAUCUACUUAUACCAAAAAAAAAAAAUUCAUUGUUUACCUGAAAUUCAAAUUUGAGUGCCCUAUAUUUUGUCCAGUAACCUUAGUCUCAUCAAAUCUCCAUAUUUUAGAAAUGUGCUUGAAAUAAUGUUGGUAGGUUUCUAAAUUUAGGAGAGCAUCCUACAUGAGUGUCUUUCAUACCCAUGGUGUGAAAUUCAAAUUUAUUAUUUAUAAUUUGCAUUUUUAUUUACUGAACUUGGCGAUCCUGUCCCCUACUCACCUCAGUUAUCUUCCUGAUCCAAUGAUACAACACCUAAAUUCUAGUAUCCAAGAGCCAUCUUGUUCUCCUGCUCUGUGGUCAAGGUCAAGAAGCAAGGUCUGGAUUCAAGCCACUUCACUGGGCACCCCUCUCUCUCAGGUGUUUAGAGGCAAGAGGGCAUUACAGUUAAUGAGGGACUAUUUCAUGACCUGUGUGGGAAGAGAAAGAAACUCAGGAGAACAUUUACCAGUGUUCUUCGCUUAUUGGCCAUGAGGGAGAAGCUUCAUAUCCACUAACUCAUUUAAUCUUUGUGACAGCCAUGUGAAAUUGAAUAGAUUUCAUCCAUUUCCACUUUUGUUUAUUUAUUUAUUAUUUUUUAAAGCUCAUUUUGAGAAAGAAAAGAGCGAAAGAGAGAGCAUGACCAGGGGAGGGGCAGAGAGAUGGGGAGAGAGAGAAUUUCAAGUAGGCUCUGUGCCGUCAGCAUAGAGCCUGAUCUGGGUCUUGAACUCAAGAACUGUGAGAUCACUACCUGAACCAAAAAUCAAGAGUCCGACGCUUAACCUACUGAGCCAUCCAGGUGCCCCUAUUUCCUUUUUUAAAAUGACAAAACUGAGAUCCAAACAGGUGAAAUGAGUUGCCCAAAACCACAUAGCUCAAAAGUAGUCAAGUUAAACUGACCCGAGGCCCGUGAUCUUCCCAUAGGUUCAGUUUCUUAGGGAGAGGGCAGCUCCUGAUACCUGUUAGCUGAGUGGGACAUUCCCAGGGUACUGAAACCGGUAGAGGGACAAUGACUGCCUAUGUCCACAGCUUUAGGACCAGAGAAUCUGUGACCUUUAUUCCCUGCCCACACCCAGCUGGGACGAGUGAAUACUUUGGUGACUGGGGUCUUCCAUGCCUUUCCUUGGGAUAGUGAUACAAACAAAGCAGACGGUCUUCAAACAUAUGAACAAUGUUCAAAUUACUCAUAAUUAGACAAAUCAGGAUGAAAAUGUCACCAGAGACCACGUCUCACUUGUCAGAUGUGCAAAGUACAACGCAGCAUUCUGGCAGAGGAGUUGGGGAGACAGGUACUGGUACACCUUGCUGGAGGCUGUGCCCAACUGGCACAACUCAUCUCGAGAGGCUGUAGGCCACACUUGCCAAGCUUGCCACGCACUUGCUUUGUCAUCCGGCCACGUCACUUGAGGAAUCUGCCUUCAAGACACAGCAACGGUGUGAAAAAUAUAGAUGCACCAGUUUGUUUGUUUUUUUCCUUCAUUGCGGCACCAUUUGCAAUGGCAAAAUAUCCGUCUGUAAUUUAGUUAAGAGCAUCGUAUGAUAUUAAUUUCCUGGGUUGAUAAUUUUAUAAUUUGGCUGUGGUUAUGUAAGAUGUUAACAUGAUGGCAAGCUGGGUGAAGGGUACUCUCCUGUGCUAUUUCUGUAAGUCUAAAAUUACAUCAAAGUAAAAAGUUAAAAUACCAACAAAGAAGCAGGUUUCUCAUCAUCUUACGUGGGGCAUGAGGUCAGCCCCGGACCAGCAGUGAAGGGCCGUAGCUGCCCACAGGCCUCCUCCUCGGGCCUGGUACCUCCCAGAGAAGGGGCCGGGGCUGACCUUGUCUCAUCUGUGACAAGAGAGAGUGGAGGGGUACAGACAGUCGUCAGCCGCACGCUUGAGGUGACUCUGAGGAGAAGUAGGGAGCAGGGAGAAAAUGUAAGAGGGCAUACCUGCCCGGACUGCUGCUCACAUUUAGCUUAAGUCAGUGAAAGAUGUCCUUGGAAACAGUUUCAUUAUCUUAAAGCCUCAUCUCCUAUGUGUGAGACAUCCACUGUCCUUUCUCAGUCCCUGGUUAUUUGUAUUGCACGUUCAAACACCUUGAACUAUUGAGACUAUUUGCAACCCUUUCUUCACGUGGCAUUUUCAGCCCUGCAAAUAGAACAGCUAUGAAAUGCUUACGAUGUGGAGCAAGUUCUCUUUCCCCGAAGAACUUGCUCAAAAAAAACCCCACAGUCCUCUUACUUUUAAAAGAUUGUGAAAUUGGCGAAUGAAUUUGAGUGUCCUCAAGGUGACUUGGGGGUCUUCUAAUAUUCUUAUCAUUUCUAAUUUAUGCUUUAUAGUAAAAGAGAUUAGCUGCUUUCCGUUGGCUGUUCUGAAUUGUUUUGCCAGAGACUAGCUUUGGGCUUCAGUGAUUCCUCCCCCAAAUAUCAAACCCUUGAUCCUGUGGAGAUGGGGGUGAAUUAAUAGAGUGUGGGAGAUGCUCACUCCGCUGCCAGCUUUCUGGGGUCAACGUGGAGGCUGGGUGGACCCAGCCCAGUGUCAUUGAGGGUGCCCUUCCUCGGGGAUUUCUAUCUUGACCACCAGCCGGAGCUAGAUACUAUAUUAAAGCUGAUUCAAUCCCCCUGGAGCCCUGUUAAGACAGAAAGGUUGAGUGUUUUUCUGAAGGUCGCAAGGCUAAUAAGUAGUGGAGCUGGGGCUUGACCCCAAAUCCAGAGCUCUUUUCCCUAAGCAGCUAAGGGAGAUCAAUUUAGUCACCUCUGCCACCUUGCUGAGACCCAUGCCUAUGGAAAGAAAUAAUGGGGUGUCCUUCUGUCAGUUCAGAAACCUCACUUCUGCUCUAAAAAUUGGAGUGUCUUUCUGUUGUUCCCACUCCUCACCACCUUCUGAUCCUUUAGGACUCACAGUCCUGGCAUACUAGGGUGGGCAUGCCAACCACUCUCCUCCUUUCUUUUCAAGGGAAUCCCCCCCUUGCGUGUGACUCUAUCUCAGCACUGGGUUUCCUUGGAUAAAUGACUCACUUCUCAUAUUGCAGUCUUUUCUGUAAAGUGGGGAUGGCAUUUCUUUUCACAGAAUUAUUGUCCAAAUCAAAUGACCUACCAGAAAAAGCACCAAUUGCAGAGUAGGUGAAUGACUGGUUAUUAUGUUGACAAAUGCUACUAAUUCUCAAUAUGGCGUUUCCCCACGUAUCCCCUUCACAGCACUCGGGCUUUUUCCAACAAAGAGGAAUAAAGUUGCAAAGCAUGUUGCCUCUCAGAAUUACUUUUCUUUCUAGAGGACAGAAACUCUGUCAAAGAGGAAAAUGGAAUUUAUCCCAGGCUUUUGUGCAGGUUUUAUUUGUAUGCAAAAGCGAGCAAGUCUUCUUUGUUCUGAAGAUGAAUUUCAUUCUAAUGGUGCCAAUGAAUCUUUUAAAAUUUCAUAAUUGCCAUUCUUAGCAUGCUCCAAACCAAAAGAUAACAAAAGGGUUAGGUGGCCAGUUCAGAUUGGGUUUGGAGGCGGAUGUACAUACGAAAUGCUUCAGCUGCUCCCUGAGUCAUCCCCGUCCACUGAGACGUGCGUGCGGUGAGCUGGAUGGUUGAGUCAGCAGACCCCACCCAGCCUUGCCCAUCCCUGUACUGGGGAUGCUGGAUGGUACAAGGCAGGCCCAAGGGGGUGAGUGUGGUGCCCCCUGCCUAGCUCUCCUUUUGGUCACCCUUACAUGCAAAUGCGUGGAGCACUAGGCAACUUGCAACGCCUUUUUUACAUUUAUUGUCUCGUGUAAUUCUCUCAAAAAUCCUUGAGAAGGGAUUAGGUCAAGAUUAUUAUCUCAUUUUCUACGUGAGGUUCAGAGGAGUUGUGGCUGAUGAAUGGCAGAGCCGGGACUCGAAUUCACGUCACUCGACUCUAAAACUAAUAAUCUUUCCACUCUAUUUGUCUGCCGGCACAGUAUGAUGGUCCAAGCUUGAAUUAUUGAUUUUCUUAUUUUUUUCCUUUGAAAAGGCUGUCAUGUAAUCCUAAAAAUCCUGUGUAAAUUACCAAAGCAUGGAAUUUUGUACUCUGGUGAACUGACACACUAUUUUCUUUUCCUUUUUUUUUUUUUUAAGCUUAUUUAUUUAUUUUGAGAGAGAGAGAGAGAAAGUGAGAUCAGAGGAGGGGCAAAGAGAAAGGG